RNAcentral lists this ribosomal RNA (253 nucleotides) under uncultured bacterium. RNAcentral's name for it is "partial 16S ribosomal RNA". It matches the Rfam family "Bacterial small subunit ribosomal RNA", at positions 524 to 776 of the family's 1533-position model. The record is from RNAcentral.
UACGUAGGGGGCUAGCGUUGUCCGGAUUUAUUGGGCGUAAAGAGCGUGUAGGCGGCCAGGUAGGUCCGCUGUGAAAACUCGAGGCUUAACCUCGAGAUGUCGGCGGAAACCAUCUGGCUAGAGUCCGGAAGAGGAGAGUGGAAUUCCUGGUGUAGCGGUGAAAUGCGCAGAUAUCAGGAAGAACACCCGUGGCGAAGGCGGCUCUCUGGGACGGUACUGACGCUGAGACGCGAAAGCGUGGGGAGCGAACAGG